Molecule: long non-coding RNA, 1367 nt
Organism: Brassica napus (rape)
Lineage: Eukaryota; Viridiplantae; Streptophyta; Magnoliopsida; Brassicales; Brassicaceae
Exons: 2
Source: RefSeq, a predicted model, not a curated record
AUAUAUAAGUAUAUAAAUCUUUUUCGAAUACAUUUGGGUAUCUGAAAUACUACAGUUCGGAUCGGAUUCGGUUUCGGUUCUCUAAACAUCAAAAUUUUGAAUAAUUUAAAUAUUUAAUCAAUUUUGGUUCGGGUUAGGUACUACUCUUUCGGAUCGGGAUCGGUUCGGUUCUUCAGAUUUGAAUUUUUUUUUUCAGCCCUAAUAUUGAUAUGAAAAACAAAUAGCAAUUUAUUUUUAAAAAAUAUAUUCGCACGGGUGUGCGGGUCAAAAUCUAGUUUAUUUUCUUAUUUUAGGAGUCAAGGUCAACUGUGACAAAAAAAGAAAUUAAAAAAUCAAUUAUUGAACAUAUAAUUUACUUGGCGUAGAAACAAUAGAUUUUAGAAGAAUACACAAUAAACGCAGAAAUAAUUACACGCCCAAUCUUUCAUUUUAUGCUUGCAAUCUUGUUUCUCUUUUCUUUACCAAGCAUAUAAUCUUUGUUAAUCAUCUUUUUGUUUCUAUAUAUAUAUUUAACAGUUUCUGCUUUUAUAUCUUUAAUUGAUCAUUUUUUCCAUAUUUUUCAUAAAUUAAGUUUCUGCUAUAUCUUUUAAUCACUCUCUAUCAUAAUUUAUUUCACAACGUAGCCCUGAAGCCCAUAUAAGGGAGAUUCUGUCUAAAAUGGUAACUGAAACAAAUCCUCACUUCAUAGAACAUUCUGGUUCAGUUUACAGAUUAAGGCAUAAAAGAGAAGUAAAGCUAAAGAGAAGUAAAUCCUUUUACAAAAACAAAGAGACUCUAGAAAGGUACUUACUUACUUUGGAUAUAUAUAAGUCUAUAUGGUCACAUAUGUUAUAUUAUUAAGACUUGUUUUGUUUCAAUAUGAUUCAGGUUUUAGAUGUUCGUCCUGUGAUAGAAUGGAACAAAGGAAAAGCAGUUGAGUUUCUGUUGGAAUCUCUAGGAUUAAGCAAACGAUGAUUUUCUACCAAUCUUCAUAGGAGAUGACAAGACUGAUGAGGAUGCGUUUACGGUACUAAGGGAGAAGAAGCAAGGAUUUGGAAUCUUGGUAUCCUCUGUACCAAAAGAAAGCAAUGCUUUCUACUCUCUUAGAGACCCCUCAGAGGUGAAGAAGUUUCUCAAGACUUUGGUGAAAUGGAGAAAGAUGGAAGACUCUACAAGUCAUUUGAUGAUUUGUGUAGGAGUAUCAGAAGAAGCUUCAUUCAACUCUUGCUUUCUAUUUUUUUUUCACAUUUUAGCUUUCUAUAUCUUUAAUAGUCUCUGCUAUUAUAUCUUUGAAUUGAUCAUUUUUUUUUCCAUAUUAUCCAUGAAUUAAGCUGUAUUUAAAAUCACACUCUUUUCAUAAUUUAUUUAAACGCUGAGAGAGCACAUAG